UCGUCAGCUCGUGUCGUGAGAUGUUGGGUUAAGUCCCGCAACGAGCGCAACCCUUGCCUUUAGUUGCCAGCAUUAAGUUGGGCACUCUAGAGGGACUGCCGAGGAUAACUCGGAGGAAGGUGGGGAUGACGUCAAAUCAUCAUGCCCCUUAUGCUUAGGGCUACACACGUGCUACAAUGGGUGGUACAGAGGGUUGCCAAACCGUGAGGUGGAGCUAAUCCCUUAAAGCCAUUCUCAGUUCGGAUUGUAGGCUGAAACUCGCCUACAUGAAGCUGGAGUUACUAGUAAUCGCAGAUCAGAAUGCUGCGGUGAAUGCGUUCCCGGGUCUUGUACACACCGCCCGUCACACCAUGGGAGUUGGGGGCGCCCGAAGCCGGUUAGCUAACCUUUUAGGAGGCAACCGUCGAACGCGCUGCAUUAACAACGAAUGACUGGGGUGAAGUCGUAACAAGGUAGCCGUA
This 461-nucleotide ribosomal RNA is filed under the name uncultured bacterium. Its description in RNAcentral is "bacterial SSU rRNA". It matches the Rfam family "Bacterial small subunit ribosomal RNA", at positions 1052 to 1504 of the family's 1533-position model. The record is from RNAcentral.